GAUGAACGCUAGCGGCAGGCUUAACACAUGCAAGUCGAGGGGUAUUGGUUUUCGGACCAAGAGACCGGCGCACGGGUGCGUAACGCGUAUGCAAUCUACCUUUUGCAGAGGGAUAGCCCAGAGAAAUUUGGAUUAAUACCUCAUAGUAUAGUACUUUGGCAUCAAGGAACUAUUAAAGUCACAACGGCAAAGAUGAGCAUGCGUCCCAUUAGCUAGUUGGUAAGGUAACGGCUUACCAAGGCUACGAUGGGUAGGGGUCCUGAGAGGGAGAUCCCCCACACUGGUACUGAGACACGGACCAGACUCCUACGGGAGGCAGCAGUGAGGAAUAUGGACAAUGGGCGCAAGCCUGAUCCAGCCAUGCCGCGUGCAGGAUGACGUCCUAUGGAUUGUAAACUGCUUUAUACAGGAAGAAACACUCCGACGUGUCGGAGCUUGACGGUACUGUAAGAAU
This 454-nucleotide ribosomal RNA is filed under the name uncultured bacterium. RNAcentral's name for it is "bacterial SSU rRNA". It matches the Rfam family "Bacterial small subunit ribosomal RNA", at positions 28 to 487 of the family's 1533-position model. The record is from RNAcentral.